This 368-nucleotide ribosomal RNA is filed under the name uncultured bacterium. RNAcentral's name for it is "bacterial SSU rRNA". It matches the Rfam family "Bacterial small subunit ribosomal RNA", at positions 28 to 417 of the family's 1533-position model. The record is from RNAcentral.
GAUAAACGCUGGCGGCGUGCCUAACACAUGCAAGUCGAACGCCCUACGCUUGCGUAGGGAGUGGCGGACGGGUGAGGAACACGUGGGUCGAUCUACCCAGAGGUGAGGAAUACCGGCGAGAAAUCGCCGACAAUACCGCAUACGUUCUGUAAAGAACAAAGUCGCAAGACGCCUUUGGAUGAGCCUGCGCCCGAUUAGUUAGUUGGUGGGGUAAAGCCUACCAAGACUACAAUCGGUAGCUGGCUGAGAGGACGAUCAGCCACACUGGGAUUGAGAACGGCCCAGACUCCUACGGGAGGCAGCAGUGGGGAAUCUUGCGCAAUGGGCGAAAGCCUGACGCAGCGACGCCGCGUGAGGGAUGACGGCCU